This 28-nucleotide small RNA is filed under the name Bombyx mori (domestic silkworm). Its description in RNAcentral is "ovarian small RNA-25033". The record is from RNAcentral. Lineage: Eukaryota; Metazoa; Arthropoda; Insecta; Lepidoptera; Bombycidae.
UCACAGUUCUUAUCAGUGAUAUUUGUGC